GAGCCGCCGCGGUAAUACGUAGGUGGCAAGCGUUAUCCGGAAUUAUUGGGCGUAAAGCGCGCGUAGGCGGUUUUUUAAGUCUGAUGUGAAAGCCCACGGCUCAACCGUGGAGGGUCAUUGGAAACUGGAAAACUUGAGUGCAGAAGAGGAAAGUGGAAUUCCAUGUGUAGCGGUGAAAUGCGCAGAGAUAUGGAGGAACACCAGUGGCGAAGGCGACUUUCUGGUCUGUAACUGACGCUAAUGUGCGAAAGCGUGGGGAUCAAACAGGAUUAGAUACCCGGGUAGUCCCUGUCUCUUAUAU
This 301-nucleotide ribosomal RNA is filed under the name uncultured bacterium. RNAcentral describes it as "partial 16S ribosomal RNA". It matches the Rfam family "Bacterial small subunit ribosomal RNA", at positions 509 to 809 of the family's 1533-position model. The record is from RNAcentral.